RNAcentral lists this long non-coding RNA (238 nucleotides) under Cyanistes caeruleus (blue tit). Its description in RNAcentral is "lncRNA (ENSCCEG00000019167.1)". The record is from RNAcentral. Lineage: Eukaryota; Metazoa; Chordata; Aves; Passeriformes; Paridae.
AUCUUUUCUAGCAAAGCAAAAUCAGUAGCAGGAAGCAUGCCUUAAACAGAGAGCAGAAAGAUAGAAGUCUGUGAUUCUCCUUGAUGCAAUUUCUGCCAUUUGAUCUUGGACUGGUCCUUGAGAAACUGGCUGUCUUCUCAACAGGAUGAAGCAGCUCACAAGAACAGCAGGACCAAGGGAAGCCAAGAAUACAGCACCCAGAAUACUCUCCAGAGAGAAGAGAAACUUGUUCUCAGGU